GCAACGCCAUGGACAGCUGGGGACAAAAGUUGCUGUUUCCGAGGAGAAGACAUUUGUUUGCUCCUUUUUUGAAUCUCAUAUCCAGUGUUUUUCUUCACAGGUUUUGCACAGUAGGGACCAGGAAGCCCUCGGGACACUGCCGAGAAAGGACUGCUCGAGGGAAGACCUGUGGGGAUCAUGGGAUCUAUUCCAGAGGAAACUAACCAACAAUGAACAACUUCUACUAAAACUACCCCUGGAUGUGAUGGUUGCAUGCAUCAUUCCUUUAAUUGAGCAGAGUUAACUGGAUCAAAUUAUUUAUGGGAGAGAGAGGGAAAGCUAUACAGAAUUACAGUAAUUUUAUAUUUCCACCAAUAUACUCUUUGUAAGUGAAUCACUCCAUAAAUAUUUUCUGUUGCACUGAAUGCAGCAACAGUAACAAAAUAGUUUCUUAAGGUAUUUGUUUUUGCAUACUCUGGCCUUGUAAUUAUUUAAAUAGCAGCCAAGUUUAGUGAUGUUUUUGAUUCUGUCAAGAAAAAAAAAUAAGUCCUCUACUCAGAAGUGAUGACCAGAAACAGAAUCUGACAUUUAUUUUUUGAAAUUAAAUAAAUAAAUGGAAAGUUGCACUUAUCAACUCUUUGUUAAAACUGUACCAUAUCUAAUCACUGCAUAAAAGUUCAGAUGUGUAGAAUACCGUCAUUUUUUUCAGUCUCUAAAAACUAUUUUGCUCUCCAUAAACUUUCUAUUUGCUAUUUUCUCAGAAUUUUACAAUUAAAGGGAAAUAACAAACUACUUGUUUUCCUUAAAAUUCUUUGAAAAAAUCCCUAAGUACACAUUCCUUGGACAAUAAGGUUUUGUUUUGUUUUUUAAAAUUCUAUUUAUUGGAAUUUUGACUAUCUGAAUAUUUUAUUUUUUAAAGAGCAGGGGAAUUUGUUAAAUAUCUCUACGGAAGUGAACUGAUCAUUUAUAUUAAAAUAACCAAUAGAAUUAUUCUCAAGUCACCAGAAUUAAAUUUUCUAACUGUAUAUUUAACACCAUUAAUUCUUUCUUAUAUGAAUUUUAAGGAAAUUUUCCAAAGUGUCUGGUUUUACUUUUUACAUACGAAAUGAAGUUUCCUUUUCUGUGUAUAAGGUAUUAUUUUGUAACUGCACUGCACUAACAAUGUCCAAUACACAUUGUGAGCAUCACUGUGGGUAACAACUUUUUAGUUUAUACCCUUUUGAUUCAUGGCACAGCCCUGUAGUUAAUUAAGAGGAGGAAAACUUAAGCUCACAACUGCUUUUUAUUUGGUUUUCACAUCCAUACUUUAAAACUUUGCAUUAAAAAAAAUAUGAGAAAUUUAAAUAAGUUCCUGUUGCUUAAUAAAAUAUUAAUAAAAAUACAUCCCCUUGUCAAAAUCCCACUAACAAAGCAUCAGAUACCAAAGUCCGUGUGUUGCAUUGUCGAAUACAUUAGGCUCAUUAAUUAUUUUGAAAAUGGCUGCCAUUUCCAUGUAAAUGACAAGUUUCUUUUUCAUGGGCAAGAUUAUGGUACUUACCUAUUACAAGAAGCAUGUAUAAAUAGUCUUUAUCUUUAACUUCAGUUUUAAAAUAUGCAGAGUUUUGUGAAGAGGAAAAACAUCUGGUUCAAUUACUCUGAACUCUGACUGCAUGUGGGCCAGUAGUAAUAUGAACUGGAUUUAAGAAUAAACCUUGUGUUUAGUCUUUUUUGUUGUUGUUUUACCCUUAAAAUUUCAAUGUGAGUUUUCUGCUCUGUCAAUUACCCAUGUUAGCACAUUUGCAAUGAAUGUAUAAGUGCACUUUCUGAAUAAAGUCAAAAGUCUAACUUGUUUUUAGUUCCAUAAUGUUUUAAUGUUUAAUUCUAUUGUGUGUUUUUCUCCCUUUCCCCUGACCCUCCAAAAAUCACCAAAUCUGGAAAACAGACUGAUUGUAUCUGCCCAUGAGCAAAGGAAACCUGAAGGAACCAAGGGCCUGGCUGGACGGAGUUGUCAUGUGUCUGCCUGUCUACACUUGCUGUGCAGAACAUCCGCUCACCUGUACAGCAGGCACAGACAGGCAGUCACAUGACAACCCAGCCUGAAUGACAACCAGCCAUUGAAAGAAAGCAGCCCUCACACCAUAGCAUCUACACCAAGAGCUACAACCAAAAUGAGGGGCGCGGGGGCCUGGGGUUUUAAUUUGUUGGUUUCUUAACUCUUAUGUAUUAUUAUUAUUUUUGAUUCAAA
Long non-coding RNA from Balaenoptera musculus (blue whale), 2203 nucleotides. RefSeq lists it as uncharacterized. NCBI's taxonomy places the organism in Eukaryota, Metazoa, Chordata, Mammalia, Artiodactyla, Balaenopteridae. The record is from RefSeq and is a predicted model, not a curated record. The transcript has 3 exons.